This 254-nucleotide ribosomal RNA is filed under the name uncultured bacterium. Its description in RNAcentral is "partial 16S ribosomal RNA". It matches the Rfam family "Bacterial small subunit ribosomal RNA", at positions 524 to 776 of the family's 1533-position model. The record is from RNAcentral.
UACGGGGGGAGCAAGCGUUGUUCGGAUUUACUGGGCGUAAAGGGCGCGUAGGCGGCCACCGCAAGUCGACUGUGAAAUCUCCGGGCUUAACCCGGAAAGGUCAGCCGAUAUUGCGGGGCUAGAGUGCAGAAGGGGCAACUGGAAUUCUCGGCGUAGCGGUGAAAUGCGUAGAUAUCGAGAGGAACACCUGCGGCGAAGGCGGGUUGCUGGGCUGACACUGACGCUGAGGCGCGAAAGCCAGGGGAGCAAACGGG